Molecule: long non-coding RNA, 690 nt
Organism: Ceratina calcarata
Lineage: Eukaryota; Metazoa; Arthropoda; Insecta; Hymenoptera; Apidae
Exons: 3
Source: RefSeq, a predicted model, not a curated record
CAAUAGCCACACCUGUAACUUUUGACAUACACUUAUGUGCUCACACAUAUGAUACAGUACACAAAGGGGAAAAUGCAAAAGUGGAUAUGUUAAGAAACUGUACUAUUUUACUAAUUAAUUAUUAAUAUAUCAAACGGUAUACAUACAGUUUCUGUAAGAAUACUGACAAGGUAUUUGGGCAAAACAUAUUUCAAAACAGCUUUAAGCAAAAGAAAAAUAGGAAGAAGUUUCCACGCAGGAUAAUUUCUUUGAAUCGUUCGAAGAAAAAGAAACUGUAGUCUAACAACAAAUACUUGUUAUAAAUAGAUGAUGCCAGCUAGUGUAUUGUUGAGCUAAUAGAAAUGAAGACGUAUAGAUUGCGUUACAGGCGGUUUAACGAACAAUUGUGUAAUUAAAAGAAGAUGCAACUCACUGUCGAACGUCAGUUAAUAAUUCAUACUUGGCCUGGGGCACGGGGAUUUGGUUAACCAUUGAACGUAACCGAUGUUCGUUAAGAUCGACGCUUGAGGACGCUGGUCCUCGAAGAGGGUGGCUUUCGUUUACCACUUUUAUUAUUACUACGCCCAGCGUGAUCCGAUAUGAUACAUCGGCAUAUAAUAUAUACGUAAACGUUUGUAGCGUUCCUGGGCCACCAAGUACACCGCUAAACCUCCAAAGAUGAUCAAGAAGAGUCCGAUGACAUUGAUUAAU